UACGUAGGGGGCUAGCGUUGUCCGGAAUCAUUGGGCGGAAAGAGCGUGUAGGCGGCCCGGUAAGUCCGCUGUAAAAGUCAAAGGCUCAACCUUUGAAUGUCAGUGGAUACUGCCGGGCUAGAGUCCGGAAGAGGCGAGUGGAACUCCUGGUGUAGCGGUGGAAUGCGCAGAUAUCAGGAAGAACACCAACGGCGAAGGCAGCUCGCUGGGACGGUACUGACGCUGAGACGCGAAAGCGUGGGGAGCGAACAGG
This 253-nucleotide ribosomal RNA is filed under the name uncultured bacterium. RNAcentral's name for it is "partial 16S ribosomal RNA". It matches the Rfam family "Bacterial small subunit ribosomal RNA", at positions 524 to 776 of the family's 1533-position model. The record is from RNAcentral.